This 578-nucleotide ribosomal RNA is filed under the name Clostridioides difficile. RNAcentral describes it as "bacterial SSU rRNA". It matches the Rfam family "Bacterial small subunit ribosomal RNA", at positions 892 to 1469 of the family's 1533-position model. The record is from RNAcentral. Lineage: Bacteria; Bacillati; Bacillota; Clostridia; Peptostreptococcales; Peptostreptococcaceae.
GAGUGAAACUCAAAGGAAUUGACGGGGACCCGCACAAGUAGCGGAGCAUGUGGUUUAAUUCGAAGCAACGCGAAGAACCUUACCUAAGCUUGACAUCCCAAUGACAUCUCCUUAAUCGGAGAGUUCCCUUCGGGGACAUUGGUGACAGGUGGUGCAUGGUUGUCGUCAGCUCGUGUCGUGAGAUGUUGGGUUAAGUCCCGCAACGAGCGCAACCCUUGUCUUUAGUUGCCAUCAUUAAGUUGGGCACUCUAGAGAGACUGCCAGGGAUAACCUGGAGGAAGGUGGGGAUGACGUCAAAUCAUCAUGCCCCUUAUGCUUAGGGCUACACACGUGCUACAAUGGGUAGUACAGAGGGUUGCCAAGCCGUAAGGUGGAGCUAAUCCCUUAAAGCUACUCUCAGUUCGGAUUGUAGGCUGAAACUCGCCUACAUGAAGCUGGAGUUACUAGUAAUCGCAGAUCAGAAUGCUGCGGUGAAUGCGUUCCCGGGUCUUGUACACACCGCCCGUCACACCACGGGAGUUGGAGACGCCCGAAGCCGAUUAUCUAACCUUUUGGAAGAAGUCGUCGAAGGUGGAAUC